AUACGUAGGGGGCAAGCGUUAUCCGGAUUUACUGGGUGUAAAGGGAGCGCAGGUGGUCAGACAAGUCAGAAGUGAAAGCCCGCGGCUUAACUGCGGGACUGCUUUUGAAACUGCCAGACUUGAGUGCAGGAGAGGUAAGCGGAAUUCCUAGUGUAGCGGUGAAAUGCGUAGAUAUUAGGAGGAACACCGGUGGCGAAGGCGGCUUACUGGACUGUUACUGACACUGAGGCUCGAAAGCGUGGGGAGCAAACAGGAUUAGAUACCCUGGUAGUCCACGCGGUAAACGAUGAAUACUAGGUGUCGGGCUCAUAAGAGCUCGGUGCCGCAGCAAACGCAAUAAGUAUUCCACCUGGGGAGUACGUUCGCAAGAAUGAAACUCAAAGGAAUUGACGGGG
Molecule: ribosomal RNA, 395 nt
Filed under: uncultured bacterium
Lineage: Bacteria
Description: partial 16S ribosomal RNA
Rfam family: Bacterial small subunit ribosomal RNA
Source: RNAcentral